This is a long non-coding RNA of Ictalurus punctatus (channel catfish), 1173 nucleotides long. RefSeq lists it as uncharacterized. The transcript has 3 exons. The record is from RefSeq and is a predicted model, not a curated record. NCBI's taxonomy places the organism in Eukaryota, Metazoa, Chordata, Actinopteri, Siluriformes, Ictaluridae.
AAUCAGCAGGGCUAAUCAAACAAAUCAAAACAAACAGACGUUUUAAAUUGACUGGAAAAGCCAUGCCGACGUUCAAACGAGAGCUCGUUUCCCCUUUGCAGCACACUUCCUCUGCCUUCGGAGGUAGGGAGGCAAACACUGGGCCUGAAAAGGCCGUUUAAGAGGAGCGUUUGAAGUUUUAUUUCCUCGCUGAUCGUUUGGACGGAUAAGAACUGCGCUGUUUGUUUAUUCAGACGGCAGCAAUUUCCCCCCCCCCCCGGGGUAAAACCAGUCUGUCUGUCACCUUAAUGCCCCUCAAUAAACACAAGGUGUACAGAAACCGAAUAAGAGUGAACUUUACUAUGGGUUUCCUCAAAUUAUUUGGUCUUAAUUCGCACCCCUUCAAUUAAAAUCAGAUGGGAUGAAGAUCCUCUAUGAAGAAACAUAAUCCGCCUAAUCCGUCGCGCGCUUUCCGCCAAAUUCACACCUGUUCGAGCGCGCGGUGCUCUUUAACGAUACAGAACGCGCACGAGUCAGAGAAUCAACUCAGCGUCUUAUGGCUAAAGUUAAAGGAGAAAACAUGCCACUUAAAUCACUCGCAUAUGGAGCCACGGCAGCGUGAUACAAGACGAAAAACAUCAGGGGAAUGAAUCCAAAAACGAAGCUAGCCUAUAUUAUAGCCUUCAACUUCUAUGCAGUUGAAAUGUCAGACUUGUGGUAGCACUGAGCGACAGGGUAUGAGCCGGUUAAAUCAUGAGUGUCCAUGAACCUUGUGCACUAAUGGUGUGUGAUACUGGUAUCUUGCAGCCAAAUAUUUUUACACUAAUGGAAUCUCAUAGUAUAUGACUUACUCAUUGAGGAUUAAAUUAAGUUUAUGAUCCCUAGCCCAUGAUCUCACUGUUUUAUUUUUAUGUUGUGUUUCUUAAUUGUAAUGAUGUUUUCACCCAUUCUUUUUGCACUCUUUGUUGCAAACCUAAUUUUCCCCAAUGGAGCAAUAAAGUUUGAUUGAUGUGCCAUACUUGUCAGCAAUUAAUAGCUUGGCUUUGGCACAGUUGGUGGCAAGAUCCCCUUGCAUUUCCCUUCAUCCCCCUCUGUGUUCCUUUUGAUUACUGCACGCUCACAAUCCACUUAUCUGGAGCCUUUUGAUCUAGUCACAUCAAAGAGAUUUAGUGAAGGAUCACUUUCACCAAAGAG